Engraulis encrasicolus (European anchovy) is the source of this 651-nucleotide long non-coding RNA. RefSeq lists it as uncharacterized. The transcript has 6 exons. NCBI's taxonomy places the organism in Eukaryota, Metazoa, Chordata, Actinopteri, Clupeiformes, Engraulidae. The record is from RefSeq and is a predicted model, not a curated record.
GGAACCCUCAGAGAGAGACCGUUCUUCAGUUUACCUCAGCUGAACUCAACUCUCCGCCUGUGUCGCGUCUCGUCCAACACUGCACUGUCGUGACUUGAUCAUUCAAUGGUUCAGCCAUUCCUUGAUCGACCUGACACCAACAUUAGGCCUACUCGAUGUGUAUGAAGCAAGCUGCCUCUGCAUCAAGUGAGAGAAGAAGCCGCCACUGAAAAGCUUUUUGGACUGUCAUUUGAAGGACACAAAUGAAAGGGCAGGAAUUCUGCUCUGCGGCGUUGGCCUCACUAUUUAUUCAAGAAGCCCUCGGACACCACCAGAAUGUAUGAAAAUAAUAAACAGUAGGCACAGUCAUUCCUUGAUCGACCUGGCAUCAACAUCGCUCGAUGUGUAUGAAGCUGCAAGUGAGAGAAGAAGCCGCCACUGAACACCUUUUUGGACUGUCAUGACUCAAAUGAAAGGACAAGACUUCUACUCUGCUGGGUCGGCCUCACUACAUAUUCAAGAAGCCCUCGGACGUCAUCAGAAUGUAUUAAUGUGAAGAGGCAACAAGGGAGAGAUGAACGCUAUCAAAAAUGUGGAGAUGGAUCUGGCAGCCGACCGCUUUGGCACACACCCAACAAGAAACAAAACAAUAAAGAAUACUAAAAUGCAUAA